GAUGUACUCCCUCCGUUCCAAAUUACUCGUCGCAGAAAUGGAUGUACCUAGAACUAAAAUACAUCUAGAUACAUCUAUACCCGCGACAAGUAAUUCGGAACGGAAGGAGUAGGCG
Molecule: non-coding RNA, 115 nt
Organism: Triticum aestivum (bread wheat)
Lineage: Eukaryota; Viridiplantae; Streptophyta; Magnoliopsida; Poales; Poaceae
Source: Rfam